GAUGAAACACGCAACUCGAAAAUGAAAAUAUUUCCCUUUACCUGCAAUAACACGUUUUACUCGAAAACUACAGUUCCUAAAUUACAGAAUAAUAACAUUGUUACCUAAUAUUCCGGUGUUGGUUUUAUCCGGUGGUGUAUCCAAAAUGUCUAAAAGGGAAUGGGGAAAUAAAUAAAAUACCCGAUUGAAAACGUAUAUUAAA
Cinara cedri is the source of this 202-nucleotide non-coding RNA. The record is from the annotation of a GenBank genome assembly. Lineage: Eukaryota; Metazoa; Arthropoda; Insecta; Hemiptera; Aphididae.